ACACCAGAACGCAUCUGCCGCCGCCACAAGCACCGCACCUCCGCCUCUGCCCCCAACCAUCCCAUCGCCGUCGCCUCUCACCCACCGCACCCCCGCCCCCUCUCCCAACUACCCCACCGCCGCAGACCGCCCUCCGCUCCGUCCACUGCCGACGUCGCCCCAAGCACCCCACAGCAGCGCCGCCAAGCACCCAACGGACACGGACCACCACCAGCGCUGACCAGCUCCGUCGCCGAGCCACUCCACCGCCGACCACCCUCCUCCACCGAACGCCUUCCCACGCUGCAUCGCAAGAUUCAUCUCUCGAGCAGGCGUCCUCCCCACAAGCUUCACCCGAGCAGCGAGCCGGUCGCCACCACUCCGUCUGCCGUCCCACCUCGCAGCAAUCUGAGACGCAUCGCUACUGAUGUUGCCUGCUUUUGGCCUUUUUAGACCUCCCAAUAAUUUAUCUUCUUAUCUGAUUUCUCAGUGAGAUAGAAAGAUGGAAGAGGGUGCGGCACAAGGAAAGGGGAUGAGUAUGGAUGCCUCCCCUUACCUCAGGAAAGUGGACCUCAAGAUGUAUUCUAGCCACUAAAACCUCCACUGGAAACAAAACUUUACUAUUAAUUGUUGAACGAGACCAUGAGCAAUGCAGCCUCGACCAUUACAUGUUUGCCUGCGAUUUUCAAACUGAUGAAUUUGGAGCAGAGACACUGAUGAUGUACACAUACCAAUCACCAGAGAAAGGAGUUCGAAGGAGGAAUUAAACACACGAAGAGAGAGAGAGAGAGAGGGGUUAAUAGAGAGGAAUCUUCUGCAAUCCACAGGGCAGUGCACAACGUGACUACCUCUACCUGGUGCAAACCCCUUUGCAUCCUCCGUAGAGCAGAGCACAACCAACAGCUCUGUAGCGAUGCAAUGCUUCUGUUACCUGUCCAAAAAGUAAACCCUUCUUCAUCCUCGCCACAUGGAGUGCAGGUUGGCAUCACACUGGAAGAUCUUCUGGUCGACGCGUAGUUGUACAAGUCAACUAGGAUACAUGGUGAUUCUUCUGUUCAUUGUGACAACACAAUCAAGUGGCUUGAGGCAUGUGGCCCUCUUUGAAUAAUGUAGCUUCACAUGAUGGUGGCGAGUCUUCUAUUCAGAACAUCCCAUGAUUACGGAAAUGGCAUUCAACAAACGGCUGAGCAGAAAUAUACAAAAGUGUGAACAUGCCAUUGUUUCCUAGACAUAGCUAUAGUGAUAAGUCAAGCUCAUACAGUUAGUGUAGCUUAGUUUGAAUACAUAACAUCUUAUUGUCUCAUGUAAAUUAUGUUUACCAAUGUAGUUGUUUGCUACUGAACACAUCUAUGGAUGUUGAGAUCUUGAAUUUUUAGUCUGAAUGUGUUUGAGGUCUGCCA
This is a long non-coding RNA of Triticum aestivum (bread wheat), 1379 nucleotides long. RefSeq lists it as uncharacterized. The record is from RefSeq and is a predicted model, not a curated record. The transcript has 5 exons. NCBI's taxonomy places the organism in Eukaryota, Viridiplantae, Streptophyta, Magnoliopsida, Poales, Poaceae.